Molecule: transfer RNA, 75 nt
Filed under: Micromonospora rhizosphaerae
Lineage: Bacteria; Bacillati; Actinomycetota; Actinomycetes; Micromonosporales; Micromonosporaceae
Description: Micromonospora sp. 211018 tRNA
Rfam family: tRNA
About the family: Transfer RNA (tRNA) molecules are approximately 80 nucleotides in length.
Source: Rfam by way of RNAcentral
GCUCCGUUAGCUCAGCACGGUGAGAGCGCUGCCCUGUCACGGCAGAGGUCGCCGGUUCAAGUCCGGUACGGGGCG